UUAGCCCUAAACCUAGAUAGCCCAACAACAACGUUAUUCGCCAGAGUACUACUAGCAACAGCUUAAAACUCAAAGGACUUGGCGGUGCUUCACACCCUUCUAGAGGAGCCUGUUCUGUAAUCGAUAAACCCCGAUAAACCUCACCAACCCUUGCUAAUACAGCCUAUAUACCGCCAUCUUCAGCAAACCCUAAAAAGGAACCAUAGUAAGCAAAACUAUGUAACAUAAAAACGUUAGGUCAAGGUGUAGCCUAUGGGUUGGGAAGAAAUGGGCUACAUUUUCUAAUAUAGAACACUUUAACGAAUAUUCCCGUGAAACCAGGAAUGGAAGGAGGAUUUAGUAGUAAAUUAAGAAUAGAGAGCUUAAUUGAAUUAGGCCCUGAAGCAC
RNAcentral lists this ribosomal RNA (387 nucleotides) under Nyctimene robinsoni (Queensland tube-nosed fruit bat). RNAcentral describes it as "partial 12S ribosomal RNA". It matches the Rfam family "Bacterial small subunit ribosomal RNA", at positions 796 to 1382 of the family's 1533-position model. Lineage: Eukaryota; Metazoa; Chordata; Mammalia; Chiroptera; Pteropodidae. The record is from RNAcentral.